Molecule: ribosomal RNA, 120 nt
Filed under: Peromyscus maniculatus bairdii (prairie deer mouse)
Lineage: Eukaryota; Metazoa; Chordata; Mammalia; Rodentia; Cricetidae
Source: RNAcentral
CUCUACAGCCCUACCACCCUGAAUGCGCCCCCAAUCUUGUCUGAUCUCGGAAGCUAAGCAGAGUCAGGCCUGGUUAGUACUUGGAUGAGAGACAAAUAACAGUUACCAAACACUGAGUGC